UAUCUCUGUAGAGUCUGCAUAUCAAUAAGCGGAGGAAAAGAAACUAACAAGGAUUCCCUUAGUAACGGCGAGUGAAGCGGGAAGAGCUCAAAUUUGAAAUCUUCAAGGUUCUACCUUGACGAAUUGUAGUUUAAAGAAGUGUUUUCUGUUAGAUGAGUAGCAAAAGUUCCUUGGAAUGGGACAUCAUAGAGGGUGAGAAUCCCGUAUUUGGUUAUUCAUUCUAGCUUUGUGAUACACUUUCAAAGAGUCGGAUUGUUUGGGAAUGCAGUCCAAAAUGGGUGGUAAAUUUCAUCUAAAGCUAAAUAUUGGCGAGAGACCGAUAGCGAACAAGUACCGUGAGGGAAAGAUGAAAAGAACUUUGAAAAGAGAGUUAAACAGUACGUGAAAUUGUCAAAAGGGAAGCGUUUGACACCAGUGUUGUUUUUCCGAAAAUCAAUUACGAAUGGCUUGAUUUUGUGUUGUAUUUACCUUAUCAGCUUUCUUCACUUUUUUCGAGUCUUUCUUAAUGCACUUUUCGGUUAACAAGUCAACAUCAAUUUCUUUUGUUGUAAAAGAGUAUUCGGAAGGUGGCUUUCUUUUCGGAGAAAGUGUUUAUAGCCCUAUACUUCUACAAUCGGAGAGAUUGAGGUCUGCAGCGUAGAUCCUUCGGGGUUAGAUACACUUUGUGCUAAGUUGUAGCUUUUCAUAGACAACUUGUUGACUAUGUUUAGUCAUGCGGCUUACUCGCUUAUGCUAUUUUACCUACGCUUAGGAUGUUGACUGAUAUGUAGUCGUA
This 775-nucleotide ribosomal RNA is filed under the name uncultured Neocallimastigales. RNAcentral describes it as "partial large subunit ribosomal RNA". It matches the Rfam family "Eukaryotic large subunit ribosomal RNA", at positions 24 to 644 of the family's 3401-position model. The record is from RNAcentral. Lineage: Eukaryota; Fungi; Neocallimastigomycota; Neocallimastigomycetes; Neocallimastigales.